AUCGCUUCUCGGCCUUUUGGCUAAGAUCAAGUGUAGUAUCUGUUCUCUCAGCUUAAUCUCUGAGACGCCGGACAUAGCUCGGCUCCAAGAUUAACUCAAUCUUUGGAACUUGGGACAGGGAUGGCAGCUUGCUGCGCCCUUCUCGCGCAUUGUCCAUCCCUUCCCGGGGAAUAAUUAAGCUACG
Corticium candelabrum is the source of this 184-nucleotide small nuclear RNA. RefSeq annotates it as U2 spliceosomal RNA. The record is from RefSeq and is a predicted model, not a curated record. NCBI's taxonomy places the organism in Eukaryota, Metazoa, Porifera, Homoscleromorpha, Homosclerophorida, Plakinidae. The transcript has a single exon.